AUUAUUUAUUUAAGGAGUCCAGGUGGUUAAAUAAAGUCUUAAAAAACUCAAGGUAUUCACAUGCAGACUAUGUCUAAUGAUAUCUGACAAGACAAAAAGUGUCUAAGACAAAAGAUACACAACAAACGAAUAAAACUACUUAGAUACUCAUCAUAGCCUCCCAUACUUGGUAUCUCUUCAAUAUUAUGUCAUAUAUAAUGUUGUUAUACUUAAAUCUUACUCAAGUAAUGUCAUGGAUUCACCACCAAAAUAAAAGAAUAUGAUUGCCUCGAAUGCUCAAAACAAAACUCAAAACACACCAACUUCAAAAGUUCAAAACCCACUUCAAAGCUACCUGAUGCCUUAUUCCUCACCGUUCUCGGAUUCGAGCCCCUAAGUGUUCCGUGGGGUUCCAUCAUAAGUUCCUGUUGGUUCUCGGAUUCGAACCCCUACGGGGCCUACCGUAGGGGAGAAAGCAGAAAGCAGAAAGCAGGUAGCCAUUGCAAUGAACCUCGAUAUAAAAAUAAGUGGUGUACUAUACACAAAACGAACCUCGCAGUAAAAUAAAACAAUCAUAAACGAACGACGAUAAAUAUUAUUACAAAACGUAGAAAUAAAAGUUAUUUUUACAGUUGCUAUCGGAAAUGGUACGAAUAAAACGAUCAUAUGUACAACGACAAACUUUUGUCUUUCUAAUGGCGACAACGUUUGUAAGGGAUCUUUUCAGUCUCUUACCAUAUUAUAACUUAUAAAAACGUAUAACUCGAGACUAUUUAGAAUAUGUCGUAUCAUAAAAAGAGUAUUAAAAACCUCAAUCCAUUCAUAACUAUGAGAACUUAAGAAAUGUCCGACAUGACAAAACCGCCUAACGACAAUACAAACGUAACAAACGUAUACAAACGAACAAAUUACUAAUAUAAACUCCUAUCCUCAUAAUUUAAACGUCUCUGUAAAUCAUACGUUACAACUUAUUAUUAAAAUCACUAAACAAUGUCAUAUUUUACUGUUCCAAAACGUAACCAAAUAUGAUUGGAUAGAGUGCUCAAGAACAACUCAAACAACACCUACUUCGAAAACUAUUUUUCUUCUCUUUGGUACUAUACUCUCCUUAAUUCCUCUGUGUUUUCAAGUUCGAACCCCUGAGGGUUCCGUGGGGUUCUAUUAUAAAUUUAUUCAGAAUUCGUAGAUUAGAACCCCUACGGGGCCAUCCGUAGGGUGGAAAGAAGAAGUUGUUGAUAGCAUAAAGCUUCUUUUCCUUAUAGUUUGCCUCAGGUUUACCUUACUUUGGAAGCCCUCGCACUAAAAAUCCUUCUUAUACUAGGCCCUCUGAACCUCAAGUGCAGUCUUCUAGGAGCUCCUCCGGUUUUCUAUCCCCCGCGCGGGUGGGGGACCCGCGCGGGAUGGGAGAGCACCCGGGGAGCUCCGAGGGGGUUGGCUGAAGAAAGCGGAUAUAUUAGGAUGUAUGGGAUUUUUGUAGUUUUGUCUUCUAUCUAGCCCUCAAGGCGGUGGCGUUCGGAGAUAUCGGUGGUUUUUGGAGAGCCCUCGGGCAAGGUCGUGGGACGGCCUCCCCCUUCGGUAGUGGCCACCGGUAGAAGUAGUAGAGCCGUGAGAGGUACUGCUCCUCCCUCAUCAAGUGGGAGCUCCGAUUCCCAUACAUGGUCAUCAAUACACGAACUAGAGAGAGAGAGAACACAAGAGAGAUACCGUGCUAGAACUACAUAGCGCUCGAAACGAUUAUAUCA
This 1721-nucleotide ribosomal RNA is filed under the name Triticum aestivum (bread wheat). RNAcentral's name for it is "partial small subunit ribosomal RNA". The record is from RNAcentral. Lineage: Eukaryota; Viridiplantae; Streptophyta; Magnoliopsida; Poales; Poaceae.